GACGAACGCUGGCGGCGUGCUUAACACAUGCAAGUAGUGCGACGAACCAGGGCUUGCCCUGGGGCAAAGCCGCGAACGGGUGAGUAACACGUGAGUAACCUGCCCCGAUGACCGGGACAACCCGAGGAAACUCGGGCUAAUACCGGAUGUGGUACACGGACUUAAGCCCGUGUACUAAAGGAAGCUUCGGCCUCCGCAUUGGGAGGGGUUCGCGGCCCAUUAGCUUGUUGGUGGGGUAACGGCCCACCAAGGCAACGAUGGGUAGCUGGUCUGAGAGGACGAUCAGCCACACUGGGGACUGAGACACGGCCCAGACUCCUACGGGGAGCAGCAGGU
This 336-nucleotide ribosomal RNA is filed under the name uncultured bacterium. RNAcentral's name for it is "bacterial SSU rRNA". It matches the Rfam family "Bacterial small subunit ribosomal RNA", at positions 28 to 355 of the family's 1533-position model. The record is from RNAcentral.